ACGUAGGGGGCAAGCGUUAUCCGGAAUUAUUGGGCGUAAAGAGUGCGUAGGUGGUUUUUUAAGCGUGAGGUGAAAGGCAAUAGCUUAACUAUUGUAAGCCUUGCGAACUGGAAGACUUGAGUGCAGGAGAGGAAAGUGGAAUUCCUAGUGAAGCGGUGAAAUGAAUAGAUACUAGAACGGAGCCAAGAGAGGUUGGCGAGUUUCAGGGAUCUAACUGACCCUGCGGCGAGAUAGCUUGGAAAGAAAGCAG
This 250-nucleotide ribosomal RNA is filed under the name uncultured prokaryote. Its description in RNAcentral is "partial 16S rRNA". It matches the Rfam family "Bacterial small subunit ribosomal RNA", at positions 525 to 775 of the family's 1533-position model. The record is from RNAcentral.